This 301-nucleotide ribosomal RNA is filed under the name uncultured bacterium. RNAcentral's name for it is "partial 16S ribosomal RNA". It matches the Rfam family "Bacterial small subunit ribosomal RNA", at positions 509 to 809 of the family's 1533-position model. The record is from RNAcentral.
CAGUAGCCGCGGGAAAACGGAGGGAGCUAGCGUUGUUCGGAAUUACUGGGCGUAAAGCGCGCGUAGGCGGUUACUCAAGUCAGAGGUGAAAGCCCGGGGCUCAACCCCGGAACUGCCUUUGAAACUAGGUGACUAGAAUCUUGGAGAGGUCAGUGGAAUUCCGAGUGUAGAGGUGAAAUUCGUAGAUAUUCGGAAGAACACCAGUGGCGAAGGCGACUGACUGGACAAGUAUUGACGCUGAGGUGCGAAAGCGUGGGGAGCAAACAGGAUUAGAUACCCCUGUAGUCCCUGUCUCUUAUAA